ACUUCCAGGCUGGGUCUGCCCACAUCAGUUAAGGCAAUCAAGACAAUCCCUCACAGACAUGCUCAUAGGACAACCUGAUGUGGACAGUCCUUCAAAGAGAGACUCUUCCCAGCACCAAUCUGGAGAUCAAGACUUUACCAGCAUGGACCAGUGCGGGGGAAUUCUAUCUGAAAGCUCAGUCAAGUGUCAUCUCCAAAUACCAUUCCAUCAGGACUUUCAACAAGCCACCAAAUCCCAUCAGGGGACUACAUUCUCGUGACCUGGAGGAACCCUAACCACCCCUCAAAGGCCUUGUGGUCAUGAGUUUUCUGUUCCUGUGACA
Mus caroli (Ryukyu mouse) is the source of this 322-nucleotide long non-coding RNA. RefSeq lists it as uncharacterized. Lineage: Eukaryota; Metazoa; Chordata; Mammalia; Rodentia; Muridae. The record is from RefSeq and is a predicted model, not a curated record.